GAUGAAACUUAGUAGACUUCUUCGGAAAGACACUAAGCGGAUUAGUGGCGAACGGGUGAGUAACGCGUGAGUAACCUGCCUUACACAAGGGGAUAGCCUUUGGAAACGAAGAAUAAUACCCUAUAAAACCAUAAAAGCACAUGCUAGAAUGGUCAAAGUGAUAGCGGUGUAAGAUGGACUUGCGUCUGAUUAGCUAGUUGGUGAGAUAAAAGCUCACCAAGGCAACGAUCAGUAGCCGGCUUGAGAGAGUGUACGGCCACAUUGGGGCUGAGACACGGCCCAGACUCCUACGGGAGGCAGCAGUGGGGAAUUUUGCACAAUGGGGGAAACCCUGAUGCAGCGACGCCGCGUGAUUUAGAAGGCCUUCGGGUUGUAAAAAUCUUUUGUAUAGGAAGAAAAUGACAGUACUAUACGAAUAAGGUCCGGCUAAUUACGUGCCAGCAGCCGCGGUAAUACGUAAGGACCGAGCGUUGUCCGGAAUCAUUGGGCGUAAAGGGUACGUAGGCGGCUAGAAAAGUUAGAAGUCAAAGGCUAUAGCUCAACUAUAGUAAGCUCCUAAAACUAUUUAGCUUGAGAAAUGGAAGGGAAAGUGGAAUUCCUAGUGUAGCGGUGGAAUGCGCAGAUAUUAGGAAGAAUACCGGUGGCGAAGGCGACUUUCUGGCCAUUAUCUGACGC
Molecule: ribosomal RNA, 675 nt
Filed under: uncultured Eubacteriales bacterium
Lineage: Bacteria; Bacillati; Bacillota; Clostridia; Eubacteriales
Description: bacterial SSU rRNA
Rfam family: Bacterial small subunit ribosomal RNA
Source: RNAcentral